This 460-nucleotide ribosomal RNA is filed under the name uncultured bacterium. RNAcentral's name for it is "partial 16S ribosomal RNA". It matches the Rfam family "Bacterial small subunit ribosomal RNA", at positions 338 to 795 of the family's 1533-position model. The record is from RNAcentral.
CCUACGGGGGGCAGCAGUGAGGAAUAUUGGUCAAUGGGCGCGAGCCUGAACCAGCCAAGUAGCGUGAAGGAUGACGGCCCUACGGGUUGUAAACUUCUUUUAUAAAGGAAUAAAGUGAGGCACGUGUGCCUUUUGGGAGGUACUUUAUGAAUAAGGAUUGGCUAACUCCGGGCCAGCAGGCGCGGUAAUACGGAGGAUCCGAGCGUUAUCCGGAUUUAUUUGGGUUAAAGGGAGCGUAGGUGGGUUGUUAAGGCAGGUGUGAAAGUUUGCGGCUUAACCGUAAAAUUGCAAUUGAUACUGGCAGCCUUGAGUACAGUUGAGGUAGGCGGAAUUCGUGGUGUAGCGGUGAAAUGCUUAGAUAUCACGAAGAACUCCGAUUGCGAAGGCAGCCUACUAACCUGCCACUGACGUUGAUGCUCGAAAGUGUGGGUAUCAAACAGGAUUAGAUACCCUUGUAGUC